This 230-nucleotide ribosomal RNA is filed under the name uncultured bacterium. RNAcentral's name for it is "partial 16S ribosomal RNA". It matches the Rfam family "Bacterial small subunit ribosomal RNA", at positions 103 to 334 of the family's 1533-position model. The record is from RNAcentral.
CGGGUGAGUAACACGUAUCCAACCUGCCGUCUACUCUUGGACAGCCUUCUGAAAGGAAGAUUAAUACAAGAUGGCAUCAUGAGUUCACAUGUUCACAUGAUUAAAGGUAUUCUGGUAGACAUGGGGAUGCGUUCCAUUAGAUAGUAGGCGGGGUAACGGCCCACCUAGUCUUCGAUGGAUAGGGGUUCUGAGAGGAAGGUCCCCCACAUUGGAACUGAGACACGGUCCAA